CUCCUUUAUGUCUGAAUAAACCUGAAGCAAGCCCUCUGCCUGCAGUGGCAAAUCGUGACCAGCAAGCCCUCAGUCAUGAUGAA
Molecule: long non-coding RNA, 83 nt
Filed under: Bos indicus x Bos taurus (hybrid cattle)
Lineage: Eukaryota; Metazoa; Chordata; Mammalia; Artiodactyla; Bovidae
Description: lncRNA (ENSBIXG00000007986.1)
Source: RNAcentral